AGUAAUGUUGCGAUGAUCUGCUCUAGUUGUGUAAGAUAACCGCGGAAACCUGUGGCUAAGAGACUAGAAUGAGACGCAACCCUAUCAGUUUGUUGGUAGUGUAACGGACUACCAAGACUAUGACGGGUGACGGGAAAUCAGUGUUUGAUUCCGGAGAGGGAGCCUGAGAGAUGGCUCCCACGUCCAAGGAUGGCAGCAGGCGCGAAAAUUGUCCACUCUUUGUUGAGGAGACAGUUAUGAGGCGUGAUUGUAAGAGCGAAGAGUAAACAUCUUUGUGUAAUGCAACUAGAGGGCAAGUUUUGGUGCCAGCAGCCGCGGUAACUCCAACUCUAGAAGUGCCUAUUGUGGAUGCUGCAGUUAAAAAGUCCGUAGUCGUUGAUGCAAUUAAAAGGUGUAGAUCAAGUGCACCAAGUUUGUUAGUUGUGGCGGAGCGGACAGGGAGCAUGGUAUAGGUUGGCGAAGAAUGAAAUCUCAAGACCCAACCUGGACCAACUGAGGCGAAAGCGGUGCUCUUGUACGCGUCUGUGGAUCAAGGACGAAGGCUAGAGGAUCGAAAGUGAUUAGACACCGCUGUAGUUCUAGCAGUAAACUAUGCCGACAUUCUCUGUUGUUGAGACGGGGAGGGGAGAAAUCUUAGUUUUCGGGCUCUGGGGAUAGUACGCUUGCAAGAGUGAAACUUAAAGCGAAAUUGACGGAAGAUCACCACAAGGAGUGGAUUGUACUGCUUAAUUUGACUCAACACGGGAAAACUUACCAGGGCCAAGUCUCUCGUAGAUUGGCGACAUGAGAGGGGCAAGAGUGGUGCAUGGCCGUUGGAAAUUGAUGGGAUGACCUUUAGCUUAAGUGCUGUAACCAGUGAGAUCUUCUAGACAGGUGUCUUACUGACACAGGAAGGAGAAGGCUAUAACAGGUCCGUGAUGCCCUCAGAUGCCCUGGGCCGCAAGUGCAAUACAAUAUCCGUUUGAGCGACAUAAAUAUGCUUACGGAUGAGUAGGAUUAGCUCUUGUAAAUGAGCUAUGAAUGAGGAAUUCCUAGUAACUGUGUCUCAUCAAGGCACAGUGAAUGCGUCCCUGUUCUUUGUACACACCGCCCGUCACUAUUGCGGAUGGCAAUCAAGAUGAAGAGCCUAGGUUC
Molecule: ribosomal RNA, 1134 nt
Filed under: Paranucleospora theridion
Lineage: Eukaryota; Fungi; Microsporidia; Enterocytozoonidae
Description: SSU rRNA
Rfam family: Microsporidia small subunit ribosomal RNA
Source: RNAcentral